Long non-coding RNA from Sinocyclocheilus anshuiensis, 229 nucleotides. RefSeq lists it as uncharacterized. The transcript is spliced from 3 exons. The record is from RefSeq and is a predicted model, not a curated record. NCBI's taxonomy places the organism in Eukaryota, Metazoa, Chordata, Actinopteri, Cypriniformes, Cyprinidae.
GCCUUCCUGAACAACAUCAGAGGCAGCAGCAUGACAAGAGCAAAUGACAGUGGGAUGUGCGGCGUCUCAAGGUUCAGGGCAAGUAAGGAGACAUCAAAAAAAUCAUCCUCCAAAAUAGAUGAAGAGGGGAUUCAAGUGGCAGUCUGCAGACAUGGGAUAUUGCUAAGAGGACUGAACCACUACCAUGGUGAGGUAUUUGCCUACCCAAUGUUUUUGCAGAGGGAAUUGU